AACGAACGCUGGCGGCAUGCCUAACACAUGCAAGUCGAACGAGACCUCCGGGUCUAGUGGCGCACGGGUGCGUAACGCGUGGGAACCUGCCCUUAGGUUCGGAAUACUUCCCCGAACGGGGUGCUAAUACCGGAUAAUGUCUUCGGACCAAAGAUUUCUCGCCUUUGGAUGGGCCCGCGUUGGAUUAGCUAGUUGGUAGGGUAAAAGCCUACCAAGGCGACGAUCCAUAGCUGGUCUGAGAGGAUGCUCAGCCACACUGGGACUGAGACACGGCCCAGACUCCUACGGGAGGCAGCAGUGGGGACUAUUGGACAAUGGGCGAAAGCCUGAUCCAGCCAUGCCGCGUGAGUGAUGAAGGCCUUAGGGUUGUAAAGCUCUUUUGCCCGGGAUGAUAAUGACGGUACCGGGAGAAUAAGCUCCGGCUAACUCCGUG
RNAcentral lists this ribosomal RNA (433 nucleotides) under uncultured bacterium. RNAcentral's name for it is "partial 16S ribosomal RNA". It matches the Rfam family "Bacterial small subunit ribosomal RNA", at positions 29 to 507 of the family's 1533-position model. The record is from RNAcentral.